GAUGAACGCUGACAGAAUGCUUAACACAUGCAAGUCUUUGGCGAAUCUGUGCUUGCACAGGCUAGCCAAGGCGGACGGGUGAGUAACGCGUAAAGAACUUGCCCUGCAGACAGGGAUAACAGACGGAAACGACUGAUAACACCUGAUACAGUUGCCGGCACGCAUGUGCCUGGCAAUGAAAAGAGAUGCUGCAGGAGAGCUUUGCGUCCUAUUAGCUUGUUGGUGAGGUGACGGCUCACCAAGGCGAUGAUAGGUAGCCGGCCUGAGAGGGUGAACGGCCACAAGGGGACUGAGAUACGGCCCUUACUCCUACGGGAGGCAGCAGUGGGGAAUAUUGGACAAUGGGGGCAACCCUGAUCCAGCAAUUCUGUGUGCACGAAGAGGGUUUUCGGAGUGUAAAGUGCUUUCAGCAGGGAAGAAGAAAGUGACGGUACCUGCAGAAGAAGCGACGGCUAAAUACGUG
This 463-nucleotide ribosomal RNA is filed under the name uncultured bacterium. RNAcentral describes it as "partial 16S ribosomal RNA". It matches the Rfam family "Bacterial small subunit ribosomal RNA", at positions 28 to 507 of the family's 1533-position model. The record is from RNAcentral.